This 3066-nucleotide ribosomal RNA is filed under the name Triticum aestivum (bread wheat). RNAcentral's name for it is "partial small subunit ribosomal RNA". Lineage: Eukaryota; Viridiplantae; Streptophyta; Magnoliopsida; Poales; Poaceae. The record is from RNAcentral.
UGUACGACCGUCCACUGUCAAAGCCAAACACCAAACACCGGCGUCCACCAAUACCGGGCGCUGGUGCCCCGUCUCCCUGUCCGCUGUCGGUCCACGCGCUAAUCCCAACGGGAUUACGGGCGACCUGUGCUUCGUAUGCGGCCAGUCGAGAUGGCCGCAACGUGGUCGACUACUACCUCAACACGAUCCGUUCCGCCUUCAGAUCUCCGGUUGCAUCUCAGUCUAGCCAGGGGGGGAGAGAUGAGCGAAGCGGAGGCGCCUCUCAUCACCGAGGAGGCGGCGGAGCGCGGCUUGGCGUCCUCCGGCAGUCGCCGCCUCAGCGACGGGGGCGGCGAGCAGGGCUCUAGGAAGUACCGCAGGCGGUCGGACGCGCUAGCCUAUGGCGACCGUUACCAGAAGGCGGCCGCUCUCGUCGACCUCGCAGAAGAUGGUGUUGGCAUCCCUGAGGAUGUCUUGAAUGAUACGAGGUUCGGGAGGGCAAUGAGUUUCUAUUUUGUGUAUCUCCGGUUGGACUGGCUGUGGUCACUUAACCUGUUUGCUUUGAUUCUUUUGAAUUUUCUCGAGAAGCCUCUAUGGUGCCGGAAAGAUGCUCUACAUGCUUGUGAUCAAAGGGAUCUUUACUUUCUCGGGCAGUUGCCAUACUUCAGCAAAACUGAAUCACUCAUCUACGAGGGCCUUACACUUGUUAUUCUUGUAAUGGACAUCUUUUGUCCACUUUCUUAUGAAGGCCUAAAUAUUUUCUGGAGGAGCACCACGAAUAAGUUGAAGAUUGUUCUUCUCUUCAUCUUAGCAUGCGACAUACUGGUGUUUGCCUUUAGUUCCCAACCUUUCAGAUUAGCUCCAUACAUCCGCGUAGUUUUUCUAAUCAUGACUAUCAGGGAACUGCGAAUGUGUGCUAUCACACUGGCCGGUCUUAUUGGGACAUACCUCAAUGUUUUGGCCCUCUCUCUGUUGUUCCUCUUAUUUGCAAGCUGGCUAGCUUAUGUAACAUUUGAGGACACUCCACAAGGGAAGACCAUUUUUUCAUCAUACGGUGUAACACUGUAUCAGAUGUUUGUCCUCUUCACCACCUCCAAUAAUCCUGAUGUAUGGGUGCAUGCUUACAAGAUAUCCCGCUGGUAUUCCCUAUUUUUCAUCGUCUACGUGCUUUUGGGAGUUUACUUCCUGACAAAUUUGAUUCUUGCUGUCAUCUAUGAUAGCUUUAAGGAGCAGUUCGCAAAGCAACUUGUUCAGGUGGACUCUAUCAGGAAAAAUAUAUUACAGAAGGCAUUUGAUCUUAUCGAUACCAACAAUCGGGGUUAUCUCGACAGGGAACAGUGCAUAUCAUUGCUUAAUGAGCUGAACAAGUACAGGUCCUUACCAAAGACUUCAAGGGAAGAUUUUGAAUUAAUUUUUGCCGAGCUUGAUCGAAGUGGUGAUUUCAAGGUUACCUCCGAAGAAUUUGCUGACCUAUGCAAUACCAUUGCAAUAAAAUUUCAGAAAGAACCACCGCCGUCUUAUCUGGAAAAGUUCCCAUUCUACCAUUCACCACUUUGUGGGAGGUUGAAAUCUUUUGUGCGGAGCCGCAUGUUUGAGUACAUUAUUGUUUUUGUUCUUCUGAUAAACCUUGUUGCCGUCAUUAUCGAAACAACGCUUGAUAUAGAAAACAGCUCCUCACAGGAAACGUGGCAGGAAGUAGAGUUCUUUCUUGGAUGGAUUUAUGUAGCCGAGAUGGCACUGAAAAUAUUUUCAUUAGGAUUUGGUGCUUAUUGGAUGGAAGGCCAAAACAAAUUUGAUUUUGUGCUUACUUGGACUAUAUUUAUUGGAGAGACUCUAACGUUUGCCUUCCCGUCAAAGCUUCCCUUUCUUUCAAAUGGAGAAUGGAUUCGGUAUCUUCUCCUUGGAAGGGUGUUGCGCUUAACAAGAAUUUUGCUGCAAGUUCAGCGUUUCAGAGCAUUUGUUGCAACAUUCUUUACCCUGAUGUCUAGUUUGAUGCCAUAUUUGGGGAUAGUAUUCUGUGUUCUUUGCAUGUACUGCUCCAUUGGUUUGCAGAUUUUUGGGGGCAUUGUGUAUGCUGGUAACCCAACACUAGAAGAAACGGACCUCUUCAAUAAUGACUACCUUCUUUUUAACUUCAAUGACUAUCCAAGUGGUAUGGUUACUCUGUUCAAUUUGUUAGUGAUGGGCAAUUGGCAAGUAUGGAUGGAGAGUUAUUGGCAACUGACUGGAACUUCUUGGAGCCUGAUUUAUUUUGUCAGCUUUUACCUUAUUUCAAUAUUACUACUGCUUAAUCUGAUUGUAGCAUUUGUGUUGGAGGCAUUUUUUGCUGAGAUGGAACUGGAGAAAGGUGAAGAGGUUGAUAUCCAGAAUCCUACGUCUGGAGGAAUAAAGAAACGCCGGUCUAUGCGUGUGAGGUCAAAGGGUACGAUGGUUGAUAUUCUUCUGCACCAUAUGCUGAGCAAUGAACUUGAUGGAUCUCAAAACUCUUGAACAAUGACUGGUACCUGGAGUUCACCUACAUUCUUUUCACGAUUACGUUCUAUCGGUGCUGCCCUCGUUGUGCUUUAAUGGUACAACUGUCGGUUAUUUUUAUUCGGUUCUGCUAGGAUGGAAGCAAGAAAAUACACGAACACUUCCUGGUGAAAAAGUACAUGAAUGAUUACAACCAGUAUAUUCCCAAGCAUGGAGUAUGUAGCAGCCGUGAUAAAUUUCUGAGUAGUGCUGUAACGGACUCGAUUUGCUUCUUUUUUCAGUAUCAAGAAAUACAUUGAAUAUGCGUAUUUGUAUCGGGUCGAUUUGAUACUGCUGUCUGUCAGUCUGGUAGAGUUUUAUACACACUCCGUCUCAGUCAACAUACCAACAAGCAACUAUAGAAGAGUUCAAGUCACCACUUCAAAGUGUAGUCAGCAACUUGUAUAAAACAAAAGGAACUGUACUGGAAAUCAAUAUGAUACUACAGGCUCUGGUACUUUUUUCUGUAACUAAUCUUAUAUCAGUUGAGAUACUAUCAAUAUGAUACUACAGGCUCUGGUACAUUUUUCUGUAACUUAUCUUAUAUCAGUUGAAAGACUAGGCAUUUUGUUGACC